AAAAAACUUGAAAAAAAAGAAGUAAGGGUCUUCAGAGUCAAAAACAGUUGGAAAUUUUCUUCUCCUAGUUUCAGAAAUCAUUUCGAGUGUUUGAAGUGUUAGUUGCCUGAGAGUUUUUAUCAGUUUUUAGGCAGUUGAAAAAGAGUCCAAAAAAAUCAGUUUUGUGAAUUCUUCCUUGAGAACGUCUUUUGAAAGCUUAGACCUAGUCUGCUUGAAGUAUAAGUGGGGCAUUUCUCCUUUAAGUUCUAGCUUUAGAAGUUCAUUUGGGUCUAUUUGGGUAGUGAUUGUUGCUGUGAGGUUUUACAAUGCAGUUUGGUUUUGGUUUUGGUGUAUCUCUGGUUUGAAGUUGCUAUUGUUGUUGGUUUACAAUUGGUGCUGGGUCAUUUCUGGACUGUUAUUUCUCUUCAUUUGUUGCGGUGGAAUUUUUUCUGUUUGGAUUCUGAUUUGGUGCUGCUGUCCUGCUGUUGUUCUUUGCUGUGCUAUACUGCUGCUGACUUCCUCUUUAUUCUUCUGAUCACUCCAAUCCAGGUACAAACACUAUUUGGUCACAAUGUAGCUGAACACUUGAAGCAUGAAUAAAAGGGCUGUAAAGCUCGAAGCCAUUUAGCCUUUUUAUUUAAAUUUAUUUGUACAUCAGUUAGUAGUUCAGUAAAAUAAUGUAAGCAUCCGGAAAUGUAUGUAUUAGCCUCGAUCUGUAAUAGCUUAAAUUUGCAAGUCCAAAUCCGU
RNAcentral lists this long non-coding RNA (726 nucleotides) under Nicotiana benthamiana. RNAcentral's name for it is "long non-coding RNA (NBEN_LNC003964)". Lineage: Eukaryota; Viridiplantae; Streptophyta; Magnoliopsida; Solanales; Solanaceae. The record is from RNAcentral.